Molecule: unclassified non-coding RNA, 406 nt
Filed under: Hevea brasiliensis (rubber tree)
Lineage: Eukaryota; Viridiplantae; Streptophyta; Magnoliopsida; Malpighiales; Euphorbiaceae
Source: RNAcentral
GAAGAGCUUCCAACUGGGGAUGAUGAGGCGAAGGAAUGAUUGCAAAUAUUCGGGGGUGUUGAUCGGGGGGCAGAGUCAGACUUGGCUGUGUAAAUAUGAUGAAGAUAAAUCAUCUUGGUUGAUGGUGGUUGGUUUGAUUUGAAGGAAAGCAUAGGAAAUAACUCUCUGAAGUAACUCUCUGCAGGACUCCCCAUGAGUGGAUUGUGCCGUGAUGAUUGGGGGGUAGAUUCUCUCUGUUACUUGUUAGCCUAGGUCUCUGUUGCUUGCAGUGCAGUUCUGGUGAAGUGAUUUAGUACUAGUUUUCUCUACUUUCGGUUCUGCCCCCUUUUUUUAUUGGGGGGAAUGUUUUCUUUUUUUCUCUUUAUUAUGUUCUGGUGGCAUCUAGUUUGGUGGAAGGUAUUGGUGG